RNAcentral lists this ribosomal RNA (443 nucleotides) under uncultured bacterium. Its description in RNAcentral is "partial 16S ribosomal RNA". It matches the Rfam family "Bacterial small subunit ribosomal RNA", at positions 338 to 795 of the family's 1533-position model. The record is from RNAcentral.
CCUACGGGUGGCAGCAGUGGGGAAUAUUGCACAAUGGGCGAAAGCCUGAUGCAGCAACGUCGCGUGAAGGAAGAAGGGCUUCGGCUCGUAAACUUCCAUCAACAGGGACGAAGGAAAUGACGGUACCUGAAUAUUAAGCCCCGGCUAACUAUGUGCCAGCAGCAGCUGUAAUACGUAGGCGGCAAGCGUUAUCCGGAAUUACUGGGUGUAAAGGGUGAGUAGGCGGCAUGGUAAGCCAGAUGUGAAAGCCUUGGGCUUAACCGGAGGAUUGCAUUGGGCACUAUCGGGCUAGAGUACAGGGGAGGAAAGCGGAAUUCCUAGUGUAGCGGUGAAAUGCGUAGUUAUUAGGAAGAACACCAGUGGCGAAGGCGGCUUUCUGGACUGAAACUGACGCUGAGGCACGAAAGCGUGGGGAGCGAACAGGAUUAGAUACCCCAGUAGUC